RNAcentral lists this ribosomal RNA (452 nucleotides) under uncultured bacterium. RNAcentral's name for it is "bacterial SSU rRNA". It matches the Rfam family "Bacterial small subunit ribosomal RNA", at positions 791 to 1245 of the family's 1533-position model. The record is from RNAcentral.
UAGUCCACGCCGUAAACGAUGAUUACUCGUUGCAUGCAAUACACCGUAUGUGACUUAGCGAAAGCAUUAAGUAAUCCACCUGGGGAGUACGUUGGCAACAAUGAAACUCAAAGGAAUUGACGGGGGCCCGCACAAGCGGAGGAACAUGUGGUUUAAUUCGAUGAUACGCGAGGAACCUUACCUGGGCUACAAUGUGAGCGCUAUUUUGUGAAAGCAGAAGUUCCUUCGGGACGUGAAACAAGGUGCUGCAUGGCCGUCGUCAGCUCGUGCCGUGAGGUGUUGGGUUAAGUCCCGCAACGAGCGCAACCCCUAUUCUUAGUUGCCAGCACAUAAUGGUGGGGACUCUGGAAAGACUGCCGACGUAAGCCGCGAGGAAGGUGGGGACGACGUCAAAUCAUCAUGGGCCUUUAUGCCUAGGGGCUACACACGUGCUACAAUGGGCAGGGUACAGA